This 418-nucleotide ribosomal RNA is filed under the name Salmonella enterica. RNAcentral describes it as "bacterial SSU rRNA". It matches the Rfam family "Bacterial small subunit ribosomal RNA", at positions 1126 to 1533 of the family's 1533-position model. The record is from RNAcentral. Lineage: Bacteria; Pseudomonadati; Pseudomonadota; Gammaproteobacteria; Enterobacterales; Enterobacteriaceae.
UUAGGCCGGGAACUCAAAGGAGACUGCCAGUGAUAAACUGGAGGAAGGUGGGGAUGACGUCAAGUCAUCAUGGCCCUUACGACCAGGGCUACACACGUGCUACAAUGGCGUAUACAAAGAGAAGCGACCUCGCGAGAGCAAGCGGACCUCAUAAAGUGCGUCGUAGUCCGGAUUGGAGUCUGCAACUCGACUCCAUGAAGUCGGAAUCGCUAGUAAUCGUGGAUCAGAAUGCCACGGUGAAUACGUUCCCGGGCCUUGUACACACCGCCCGUCACACCAUGGGAGUGGGUUGCAAAAGAAGUAGGUAGCUUAACCUUCGGGAGGGCGCUUACCACUUUGUGAUUCAUGACUGGGGUGAAGUCGUAACAAGGUAACCGUAGGGGAACCUGCGGUUGGAUCACCUCCUUACCUUAAAGAA